AUACGUAGGGGGCAAGCGUUAUCCGGAUUUACUGGGUGUAAAGGGAGCGUAGACGGAAGGCCAAGUCUGAUGUGAAAGCCCGCGGCUCAACUGCGGGACUGCAUUGGAAACUGGUCAUCUGGAGUGCAGGAGGGGUAAGCGGAAUUCCUGGUGGAGCGGUAAAAUGCGUAGAGAUCAGGAGGAACACCGGUAGCGAAGGCGACUUUCUGGCUGACAACUGACGCUGAGGCGCGAAAGCGUGGGGAGCGAACAGGAUUAGAUACCCUGGUAGUCCACGCUGUAAACGAUGAUUACUAGGUGUAGGGGGUAUCGACUCCCUCUGUGCCGCAGUUAACACAAUAAGUAUUCCGCCUGGGGAGUACGGCCGCAAGGUUGAAACUCAAAGGAAUUGACGGGG
RNAcentral lists this ribosomal RNA (397 nucleotides) under uncultured bacterium. RNAcentral's name for it is "partial 16S ribosomal RNA". It matches the Rfam family "Bacterial small subunit ribosomal RNA", at positions 523 to 918 of the family's 1533-position model. The record is from RNAcentral.